Molecule: non-coding RNA, 22 nt
Filed under: Arabidopsis thaliana (thale cress)
Lineage: Eukaryota; Viridiplantae; Streptophyta; Magnoliopsida; Brassicales; Brassicaceae
Source: RNAcentral
UAGAAAUGGGAUAUACAUAUAU